AAUGUGACGUUGUUGUCCCUGGCUCUCUUUCUCUCUCUCUCCCUCCUGCUCUGUUCCUGUGCUGGUGUAACUACCACCCCUCCUCCCUGUGCCCAGCGCAAAGCACAAGGCUCGAGUGCGGAGUGAAGCGGAAAAAAAGUGAGAGAGAGAGAGGGUGAGAGAAAGAGUCGUUCACGUCAAAGAUUCGGCUCUAAGAGCCAUUUCGUUCGUUCGGACACAUCACUAUUCUGAAGCAGUGUGUUGAUCUUUUUGGCACACGCACCGGAGCGUCAGCUUCAAGCGGACCAUCACUACCUCUCACGUCUAAAGCUGAUCAGCAGGAGGAGAAGAGUCUGACGGAGCAGCAGAGGAACAUUUUCA
This is a long non-coding RNA of Oreochromis niloticus (Nile tilapia), 360 nucleotides long. RefSeq lists it as uncharacterized. NCBI's taxonomy places the organism in Eukaryota, Metazoa, Chordata, Actinopteri, Cichliformes, Cichlidae. The transcript has 2 exons. The record is from RefSeq and is a predicted model, not a curated record.